This 729-nucleotide ribosomal RNA is filed under the name Rhaconotus aff. republicanus ASDOR531. Its description in RNAcentral is "partial large subunit ribosomal RNA". It matches the Rfam family "Eukaryotic large subunit ribosomal RNA", at positions 386 to 870 of the family's 3401-position model. Lineage: Eukaryota; Metazoa; Arthropoda; Insecta; Hymenoptera; Braconidae. The record is from RNAcentral.
GUUCAGAGUACGUGAAACCGUUCAGGGGUAAACCUGAGAAACCCAAAAGAUCGAAUGGGGAGAUUCAUCGUCAGCUCAUUUUGUAUAUGUAUGAGUUAUGAUGCGAGUUACUCUUGUAGUAUUGCUUGUACAUACUUAUACAUUUAAUUGCAAUAUGUUGUCGGCGUGCACUUCUCCCCUAGUAGAACGUCGCGACCCGUUGGGUGUCGGUCUACGACCCGAGUGGUAGCCUUUAAUAUUUUAUAAUAUUAAAGACCCUUGGUGUUUUCUGACCGGCUGCCCGGCGGUACUCGUACGGUAUUUAGCCGCAUUUUUUUGCGUCCAUGUCCGUCGCAAGCGAGGCUAAUUUCUGAUAGUACGGACCUAGUGCCGUCGUUGGGAUUCGCCAGCUGUUGGUUGUAUGGAAUUCUAGGACUGGCUAAAAUAAUUACCGGUCGGCGAUGCUACUGCUUUGGGUACUUUCAGGACCCGUCUUGAAACACGGACCAAGGAGUCUAACAUGUGCGCGAGUCAUUGGGAUUUUUUUUAAAUUAAACCUAAAGGCGUAAUGAAAGUAAAGGUCGUCCUUGCGUCGACCGAGGGAGGAUAAGUUGUGUUAAGAUACAGCUUCGCACUCCCGGGGCGUCUCAUUCUCAUUGCGAGAAGAGGCGCACCUAGAGCGUACACGUUGGGACCCGUACUCUUGUAGUAUUUGGUAGCGUUGGUUGUAUUUUUUUUAAAUUUAAGAUA